This 1196-nucleotide ribosomal RNA is filed under the name metagenome. RNAcentral describes it as "SSU rRNA". It matches the Rfam family "Eukaryotic small subunit ribosomal RNA", at positions 588 to 1823 of the family's 1831-position model. The record is from RNAcentral.
GCUCCAAUAGCGUAUAUUAAAGUUGUUGCGUCUAAAAAGCUCGUAGUUUGAAAACUUGCCUUGGCUUACAACAGACGUCUAAGGGCGUCACCGUUUGUCGAGAGCAAAUAUGGGUGACUGUUCUUGCCUUCUUCACUGAUUGGCUCGUAAAAGUCAUCGAAGAUCACUUUGAUUAAGUUAGGGUGCUCAAAGCAAGUGUGCUACUUGAAUAUGAAUGCAUGGAAUGAUGGAAUAUGUUGUUGUUCUAUUUGUUGGUUUUUUGAAUGACGAAGUGAUUGAAAGGAACUGUUGGGGGCAUUCGUAUUGUUGUGAGAGAGGUGAAAUUCUUAGACCAUAGCAAGACGAACUACUGCGAAAGCAUUUGCCAAGAAUGUUUUCAUUGAUCAAGAACGAAAGUUAGAGGUUCGAAGGCGAUCAGAUACCGCCCUAGUUCUAACCAUAAACUAUGCCGACUAGCAAUUUGCUUUGUAUUUUUAUGACUAAGUGAGAGGCCACGGGAAACCAAAGUAGGGUAUGGGGGAAGUAUGGUUGCAAAGCUGAAACUUAAAGGAAUUGACGGAAGGGCACCACCAGGAGUGGAGCCUGCGGCUUAAUUUGACCCAACACGGGAAAACUUACCUGGUCCUGACACUAGAAGGAUUGACAGAUUGAUAGCUCUUUCUUGAUUUGGUGGAUGGUGGUGCAUGGCCGUUCUUAGUUGGUGGAGUGAUUUGUCUGGUUAAUUCCGAUAACGAACGAGACUCUAGCCUAUUAAAUAAUAUGCGGAAUCAAUUUCUCCCGCGUUAUUUCUUAAUGGGAUCAAGCGUGUUUAACGCUUUGAAACAGAGCAAUAACAGGUCUGUGAUGCCCUUAGAUGUUCGGGGCUGCACGCGCGCUACAUUGAAGAACAAAGUGAGCCCUCUGGCUUUUAACAAAGCUAGAAAUCUUUUAAUGUUCUUCUUAAUGGGGAUAGGGGAUUGCAAUUGUGCCCCUUGAACGAGGAAUUCCCAGUAAGUGCUAGUCAUUAGCUAGUACUGAUUACGUCCCUGCCCUUUGUACACACCGCCCGUCGCUACUACCGAUUGAAUAGUUUAGUGAGAUCACCUGAGUGUUUGUAUGUGCAUUCUGUGCUUGUAUGGUGUACGAAGAAGAUCAAACUUGAUUAUUUAGAGGAAGUAAAAGUCGUAACAAGGUUUCCGUAGGUGAACCUGCGGAAG